UGGAGGCAGCAGUGGGGAAUAUUGGGCAAUGGGCGAAAGCCUGACCCAGCAACGCCGCGUGUGUGAUGAAGGCCUUCGGGUCGUAAAGCACUUUUCUGGGAGAUGAGAAAGGACAGUAUCCCAGGAAUAAGUCUCGGCUAACUACGUGCCAGCAGCCGCGGUAAAACGUAGGAGGCGAGCGUUAUCCGGAUUCACUGGGCGUAAAGCGCGUGCAGGUGGCGCGGUAAGUUGGGUGUGAAAUCUCCCGGCUCAACUGGGAGAGGUCAUUCAAUACUACCGUGCUUGAGAGCAGAAGAGGAAGAUGGAAUUCCCGGUGUAGUGGUGAAAUGCGUAGAUAUCGGGAGGAACACCAGUGGCGAAGGCGAUCUUCUGGUCUGUUUCUGACACUCAGACGCGACAGCUAGGGUAGUAAACGGGAUUAGAUACCCCGGUAGU
RNAcentral lists this ribosomal RNA (435 nucleotides) under uncultured bacterium. Its description in RNAcentral is "bacterial SSU rRNA". It matches the Rfam family "Bacterial small subunit ribosomal RNA", at positions 343 to 794 of the family's 1533-position model. The record is from RNAcentral.